Scophthalmus maximus (turbot) is the source of this 1541-nucleotide RNA transcript. RefSeq lists it as uncharacterized. Lineage: Eukaryota; Metazoa; Chordata; Actinopteri; Pleuronectiformes; Scophthalmidae. The transcript is spliced from 6 exons. The record is from RefSeq and is a predicted model, not a curated record.
UUUGCACAUAGGUGAAUAAAUGCAACUACAUCAGAAGAAACAGUGUGGGUGAGAGGCGAGUUCUUCUGCACUGACUGUUAGACCACUUCCGAUGUGUCAUUGUGAAUUUAGUUGUCAGGCUCAAUCUAAGACCUUCUGAUGUGAUGCAGGCUCUGAUCUGUGUUGUGAAGAUAAGCAGUACUAUAACCACGGAUGACGUGUUUGUCUGUUCAGUAUCGUUACUUCAUCAGAAAUGUGAGGCCCUCAACCAUGAUGCAAAAAGCCUUUAUUUUUUUACUCAUUUUCUGGAACUCAUCCUCCUUUGUCUCAGGAAACACAGGCACAUACCAACUUGAGUUCUUGCUGGGGUGUGAAGCUGUGGUACCGUGUCAACAUACGCGGAGCGACUCGGACUCAAACUCUUUCAAAUGGUUUUACAAGAAGGAUGAACACAGUCACAGAAUCCAGAUAUUUUUUCAAGACAAGCAAGGACUACCACAUCGUCAUGACUUCCAUCCCAAAAGGAGUGUUACGCACAACCGAUCCUUGGUGAUCUCUUCUUUUAAAGAGGAAGAUCAAGGCCUGUACUGGUGUGAAAAGUGUUAUCAAGACAGCUGCAACACCGAACAGUCCACAGUGAUCAGAGUCAAGAAAGAAAUUCUGGAAGAAAUUCAACAGACAGUGUAUGUGACUGAAGGCAGCAGUUUUGAGUAUGAAUGUCUUGGUGAAUUUACUAACUCAAAAUGGAGUUUUGAAGCAAGUAACGCGACUGCUCGCAGGAUCUCAGCAGUUAGAAUGAAAACACAAAACCUUUGGACUUCCAACAAAUCCAUACACAUUGCAAACGUCGAAGGAGCACACGUUGGGAGGUAUACCUGCUGGACGAGUAGAUGUGGUGGACAGAGACACAAGCUUCUUACUAUCAACUUGUGUGUAAUGACAGUACACCAGAGUGGCGAUUCAUCUGUCUCUUGUGAUGUGAUAUGUGAUCUGGAAUUCAGUCGCAUCAAAUCUUACCUCAAAUCCAAUGAGGGGACAGGCACAACAACUAUAUCAGUGGGUGUAGAUCCAAAGGGGUCUUUAAAUUGCAGCCCAAAACAGAUCCAUGAUGUGUACAGUAAAGUUAACGGCACUCACAAACCGUCAAAUGCUUCAAACAAAACAACAGAAAAAGAUUGCGGGCAGGUUGGCAAUGCAGCUUUUUGUCUUAUGGAAACUUCCUGUUUAUUUGGUUGUUUAGUGGUCUGCUGAUUGCAUAAUGCAGCAAAGGCUUAAGUGUUUGCGAAGGUUAAGUGUCCCUGUUGAUUCUGUUUCUCUUUCCAUGUCUUCUAAGUUUUUCCUGAUCAUCCCUCUUGCUGUGGGAUUGAUGAGAGGUUGAAAGAGGAGAAUUCAGUGGUUUAUUCAUCAGUCAUCAUCGGGAGAACUGCUAAGACAUCAAACAACCACAUUGAUUGUGUAUAAAGUGAAAUAAAUGUAUAGAGAAAACUAUCAGGGUCCAUAAACGCCUCUGUUAUAAUGACAGUUUCUACACUUAUAAUCAUAUGAUUAAAUUCAUUCUCCCC